AUUGAACGCUGGCGGCAGGCCUAACACAUGCAAGUCGAACGGUAACAGGAAGAAGCUUGCUUCUUUGCUGACGAGUGGCGGACGGGUGAGUAAUGUCUGGGAAACUGCCUGAUGGAGGGGGAUAACUACUGGAAACGGUAGCUAAUACCGCAUAACGUCGCAAGACCAAAGAGGGGGACCUUCGGGCCUCUUGCCAUCGGAUGUGCCCAGAUGGGAUUAGCUAGUAGGUGGGGUAACGGCUCACCUAGGCGACGAUCCCUAGCUGGUCUGAGAGGAUGACCAGCCACACUGGAACUGAGACACGGUCCAGACUCCUACGGGAGGCAGCAGUGGGGAAUAUUGCACAAUGGGCGCAAGCCUGAUGCAGCCAUGCCGCGUGUAUGAAGAAGGCCUUCGGGUUGUAAAGUACUUUCAGCGGGGAGGCAGGGAGUAAAGUUAAUACCUUUGCUCAUUGACGUUACCCGCAGAAGAAGCACCGGCUAACUCCGUG
This 490-nucleotide ribosomal RNA is filed under the name uncultured bacterium. RNAcentral describes it as "partial 16S ribosomal RNA". It matches the Rfam family "Bacterial small subunit ribosomal RNA", at positions 30 to 507 of the family's 1533-position model. The record is from RNAcentral.